GAACGAACGACUGGCGGCGCGCCUAAUAACAUGCAAGUACGAGCGAGAAGACGUAGCAAUACGUUUGUAAAGCGGCGAACGGGUGAGGAAUACAUGGGUAACCUACCCUCGAGUGGGGAAUAACUAGCCGAAAGGUUAGCUAAUACCGCGUACGCUCCUUGGACUUCGGUUCAGGGAGGAAAGCGAUACCGUGGGUAUCGCGCUCUUGGAUGGGCUCAUGUCCUAUCAGCUUGUUGGUGAGGAACGGCUCACCAAGGCUUCGACGGGUAGCUGGUCUGAGAGGACGAUCAGCCACACUGGCACUGCGACACGGGCCAGACUCCUACGGGAGGCAGCAGUAAGGAAUAUUGCGCAAUGGGCGAAAG
This 365-nucleotide ribosomal RNA is filed under the name uncultured bacterium. RNAcentral describes it as "bacterial SSU rRNA". It matches the Rfam family "Bacterial small subunit ribosomal RNA", at positions 36 to 381 of the family's 1533-position model. The record is from RNAcentral.